RNAcentral lists this ribosomal RNA (1346 nucleotides) under uncultured bacterium. RNAcentral's name for it is "partial 16S ribosomal RNA". It matches the Rfam family "Bacterial small subunit ribosomal RNA", at positions 28 to 1381 of the family's 1533-position model. The record is from RNAcentral.
GACGAACGCUGGCGGCGUGCUUAACACAUGCAAGUCGAACGGAAAGGCCCUGCUUUUGUGGGGUGCUCGAGUGGCGAACGGGUGAGUAACACGUGAGUAACCUGCCCUUGACUUUGGGAUAACUUCAGGAAACUGGGGCUAAUACCGGAUAGGAGCUCCUGCUGCAUGGUGGGGGUUGGAAAGUUUCGGCGGUUGGGGAUGGACUCGCGGCUUAUCAGCUUGUUGGUGGGGUAGUGGCUUACCAAGGCUUUGACGGGUAGCCGGCCUGAGAGGGUGACCGGCCACAUUGGGACUGAGAUACGGCCCAGACUCCUACGGGAGGCAGCAGUGGGGAAUAUUGCACAAUGGGCGGAAGCCUGAUGCAGCAACGCCGCGUGCGGGAUGACGGCCUUCGGGUUGUAAACCGCUUUCGCCUGUGACGAAGCGUGAGUGACGGUAAUGGGUAAAGAAGCACCGGCUAACUACGUGCCAGCAGCCGCGGUGAUACGUAGGGUGCGAGCGUUGUCCGGAUUUAUUGGGCGUAAAGAGCUCGUAGGUGGUUGAUCGCGUCGGAAGUGUAAUCUUGGGGCUUAACCCUGAGCGUGCUUUCGAUACGGGUUGACUUGAGGAAGGUAGGGGAGAAUGGAAUUCCUGGUGGAGCGGUGGAAUGCGCAGAUAUCAGGAGGAACACCAGUGGCGAAGGCGGUUCUCUGGGCCUUUCCUGACGCUGAGGAGCGAAAGCGUGGGGAGCGAACAGGCUUAGAUACCCUGGUAGUCCACGCUGUAAACGGUGGGUACUAGGUGUGGGGUCCAUUCCACGGGUUCCGUGCCGUAGCUAACGCUUUAAGUACCCCGCCUGGGGAGUACGGCCGCAAGGCUAAAACUCAAAGGAAUUGACGGGGCCCCGCACAAGCGGCGGAGCAUGCGGAUUAAUUCGAUGCAACGCGUAGAACCUUACCUGGGUUUGACAUGGAUCGGGAGUGCUCAGAGAUGGGUGUGCCUCUUUUGGGGUCGGUUCACAGGUGGUGCAUGGCUGUCGUCAGCUCGUGUCGUGAGAUGUUGGGUUAAGUCCCGCAACGAGCGCAACCCUUGUUCACUGUUGCCAGCACGUUAUGGUGGGGACUCAGUGGAGACCGCCGGGGUCAACUCGGAGGAAGGUGGGGAUGACGUCAAGUCAUCAUGCCCCUUAUGUCCAGGGCUUCACGCAUGCUACAAUGGCUGGUACAGAGAGUGGCGAGCCUGUGAGGGUGAGCGAAUCUCGGAAAGCCGGUCUCAGUUCGGAUUGGGGUCUGCAACUCGACCUCAUGAAGUCGGAGUCGCUAGUAAUCGCAGAUCAGCAACGCUGCGGUGAAUACGUUCCCGGGGCU